This is a long non-coding RNA of Chiloscyllium plagiosum (whitespotted bambooshark), 1491 nucleotides long. RefSeq lists it as uncharacterized. The record is from RefSeq and is a predicted model, not a curated record. NCBI's taxonomy places the organism in Eukaryota, Metazoa, Chordata, Chondrichthyes, Orectolobiformes, Hemiscylliidae.
GGGACUCCAUGUGAUCAGUCAACCAGCUUCCAGACACCUGAGGCAGUAAAUGCUACAAUUGCAAAAGUGGAUCAGAUGUUUGGAAUGAAUAACCUUUUCCGUGUUGUCAGCUGCCAAGUACUACAUGCCACUGACUUGGAAGAAGGGCAAUGGAUUUUGAAAUAAUCAUUGAUGUCCAGGAAACUGUAUGUGCUGCAAAUUCUGGAUUGGAUCUAGCAAAUUGUACACUGCUACCUACCCCAGAUGCUAAAACUGCUACUUGCACCAGCCAGGUUCAAGUGAGUCAUAAUGAAAGUCCAGUUGUUAUGGUACAAUGCAUGAACAUGAGCAUGACAACAUCAAACUCAACAUCGAUACCAACACCAACGUCAACAUCAACAAUUAACUCAACAUCAACAUCAACAUCAAGGCCAACAUCGAUCACUACAACAACGACAACAAAUACAACUACAACAACUACAACAACAACAACUGUACCAACUACAACAACAACAACAACAACAAUAAAAUCAUCGUUGUCGUCAUCAUCAGAAAAGCAGUGAAUCAUCAGAGGAACGCAAUAAAAAAACUUUUAAGAAGAGUGGAUGGAGAUGUAAAGGAACUGAUGAACAUGAAGAAAAUUCCAAUCGGCUUUAAUUGCUUAAUUCUAAAGCAUUUAAUGAGAGCUAGCUUGCUACUUAAUUAUUAGAAAUUCAUAAUAUAGCUUCUUACAUUGAUACUCAAGAUAUUGUCACUACUCAGUAUUGUCUGGUAAGUGGAGUAAAUCUAGCAAAGUGAUUUGUACAAUAUAUCAAUGUAAACACAAAGAAUAAACAAAAUAUUGUUGUCCAAUUUUGUGUCUCAGAAGCCCUUGCAGUUCAGUAAAAGUAUUAGAGACUCAAGGUUCUCUAGUUGGUUAGUUUUCUGAGAGAUCUGACAUGAAUCUUUGAGCGGUCACAAUGGGCAAUAAGUUUAUAAAAUUGAGUGGAAUAUCUUCCAUCAUGUGUUGAGUUGCCACAGUUUCCAGCUCCUGAUGUGUUCCUUGUUCAUGAUGUUCACACAAGCAGCAGAUGAGCUCACAAGCUCCCUGUAAUUAUACCCUGCACUGGCACCGAGACCCAGGCAACCCGAGUCCCUGGCUUUGUCCUCCUCUUCUCUCUGUCUCACUCUGAAGUACAGGAGAGAAAAGAGUUAGAUCUGACGGGUGGGUGAGGAAGUGUCAUAAAUAUUUUACGAUAGCUGCAGGCCCUGAAUUAGAAGCCUUGUGCUUGCACUAAGAAAGGUAGAGCUGGGGGUGUAAUGGGGAAGGUUCUCCCAGGAAAGGACUCACAUUAGCAGCUAUCAUUCUGACAUAAACAUGAUUAAUUGGACAUGACAAUGAACAAUUGAAAUAAAGUGGGUAAGCUCAGGAGAAACAGGCCUGAUUUAUCAAUUCCAAGAUGGUAUUGAUAUCAGGAGCUGUCCCCAUCAAUGCUUUGUUUAUUUCACUUUCAGGCUGGGGUUCAUGAGAUC